GACGAACGCUGGCGGCGUGCCUAAUACAUGCAAGUCGAGCGAAGUUUUUCUGGUGCUUGCACUAGAAAAACUUAGCGGCGAACGGGUGAGUAACACGUAAAGAACCUGCCUCAUAGACUGGGACAACUAUUGGAAACGAUAGCUAAUACCGGAUAACAGCAUUAACUGCAUGGUUGAUGUUUGAAAGUUGGUUUUGCUAACACUAUGAGAUGGCUUUGCGGUGCAUUAGCUAGUUGGUGGGGUAAAGGCCUACCAAGGCGACGAUGCAUAGCCGACCUGAGAGGGUGAUCGGCCACACUGGGACUGAGACACGGCCCAGACUCCUACGGGAGGCAGCAGUAGGGAAUCUUCCGCAAUGGGCGAAAGCCUGACGGAGCAACGCCGCGUGAGUGAAGAAGGAUUUCGGUUCGUAAAGCUCUGUUGUUAGGGAAGAAUGAUUGUGUAGUAACUAUACACAGUAGAGACGGUACCUAACCAGAAAGCCACGGCUAACUACGUGCCAGCAGCCGCGGUAAUACGUAGGUGGCAAGCGUUGUCCGGAAUUAUUGGGCGUAAAGCGCGCGCAGGUGGUUUAAUAAGUCUGAUGUGAAAGCCCACGGCUCAACCGUGGAGGGUCAUUGGAAACUGUUAAACUUGAGUGCAGGAGAGAAAAGUGGAAUUCCUAGUGUAGCGGUGAAAUGCGUAGAGAUUAGGAGGAACACCAGUGGCGAAGGCGGCUUUUUGGCCUGUAACUGACACUGAGGCGCGAAAGCGUGGGGAGCAAACAGG
RNAcentral lists this ribosomal RNA (768 nucleotides) under uncultured bacterium. RNAcentral describes it as "bacterial SSU rRNA". It matches the Rfam family "Bacterial small subunit ribosomal RNA", at positions 28 to 776 of the family's 1533-position model. The record is from RNAcentral.